CCUACAAAAGAAGACCAUCUCUGAUGGCCCAGCUCGAGUAAAGAAUCCCAACCCACCAAAGCCCAAAAAAUAAAAAAAUAGAGGAGAAGACUUUUGAAGGGAGUCUUCUUCCUCUUCUCGCCGGCUCCCAAUCGGAGUCGGAAAAGAGCCCCCCUCUGGCUCUAUUUAAAGAGGAGAACCCUCCUCUCUCCCUCUCACCGA
RNAcentral lists this long non-coding RNA (201 nucleotides) under Elaeis guineensis (African oil palm). Its description in RNAcentral is "long non-coding RNA (EGUI_LNC016378)". The record is from RNAcentral. Lineage: Eukaryota; Viridiplantae; Streptophyta; Magnoliopsida; Arecales; Arecaceae.